Molecule: transfer RNA, 77 nt
Filed under: Microcoleus sp. FACHB-672
Lineage: Bacteria; Bacillati; Cyanobacteriota; Cyanophyceae; Oscillatoriales; Microcoleaceae
Description: tRNA-Leu
Rfam family: tRNA
About the family: Transfer RNA (tRNA) molecules are approximately 80 nucleotides in length.
Source: RNAcentral
ACUUCUGUAGCCCAACUGGAAGAGGCGGCUGUCUCAAAAACAGUCUGUUGUGGGUUCAAAUCCCACCAGGAGUACCA